Molecule: unclassified non-coding RNA, 230 nt
Filed under: Bacillus licheniformis
Lineage: Bacteria; Bacillati; Bacillota; Bacilli; Caryophanales; Bacillaceae
Description: 16S-23S ribosomal RNA intergenic spacer
Rfam family: Bacillaceae-1 RNA (bases 87-152)
Source: RNAcentral
AAGGAUAUUAUACGGAAUAUAAGACCUUGCGGUCUUAUAGACAGGUGCGUUUAGAUCUUGUUUAGUUUUGAAGGAUCAUUCCUUCAGACAUAGGAGCACCUGCUAAAUGCGCCACAUCCUGUGGCAACGCAUGUGUUAGCACCUCCUGUGCGUUGUUCUUUGAAAACUAGAUAACAGUAGACAUCACAUUCAAUUAGUAAGCAAGAUAUCACGUAGUGAUUCUUUUUAAC